ACCCACACAGCACCUCAGGAUGCCUGAGAGACCUGCGCUGCUGUACAUCUGAACAUGGAUAGUCUACCCCCGGGGAGGAGGUGGAGAUAGUGACAAUGAAGGGAAAAGGCAAGCUGGAGGAACGACGCGGGAGGAAAGUCACUAGCCCCUCGGAAUAUGGUUUCCACACCUUUAUGGCCCCAAUCUGCUUUAAGACGGAAGAACUUCUGAGGUUCUCUGACAACCGCAGCCAGCCCAAGCCACAUAAGUACAACAUUUAAGAGCUCCUUUUGGCCCCUGUUGUAUCAUGGCGCUCACCCUGGAACUGUCAAGACCCUAACAAUACUGAGAAGUUUCUGGCAAUGGGAAAUUCCUGGGAAUGAGAAGUUAAGUGUGGAACAGUGGGAAAAGCAUGACUUAGCUCUGGAGAGCCUUACUUGAAAUCCCACAUGCACAUCCCAGCUGUGUGGUGAUGGGGUGUCACUGACACUCACUGAGCCCGUGUCCCCGUCUCUGAAGGUCACUGGACAGAUACUUAUUUAGCGCGAGCUCUGUGCCCCUCUGAGCUGUUCUAGGUGCCUGGGAUGCAGUGUGGCCUCAUGGAGUGUUCUGUCGUGAUCUCAGGUUCUGACGGAAGGUUUCCUCGAAGAAUUGCUGUGAGAAUCUGAGCCCGUGGCAGGGAGUUUCUAGAACACCAUAGGAAGGCAUAA
This 689-nucleotide long non-coding RNA is filed under the name Equus caballus (horse). RNAcentral describes it as "lncRNA (ENSECAG00000046029.1)". The record is from RNAcentral. Lineage: Eukaryota; Metazoa; Chordata; Mammalia; Perissodactyla; Equidae.